RNAcentral lists this long non-coding RNA (2280 nucleotides) under Capsicum annuum. RNAcentral describes it as "long non-coding RNA (CANN_LNC020311)". Lineage: Eukaryota; Viridiplantae; Streptophyta; Magnoliopsida; Solanales; Solanaceae. The record is from RNAcentral.
GAAAUCACAUGCGUAUAAGGUGAGUAAACUAAAAAAUGAAGAGAGCUUCGAGGGAGUUCCAGUCAGUUUCUUCGAGAUUUUCCGGCUAAGUUUUGCCGGAAUCAGUUAGGCUCAUCGUUCGCUAGUUCCAAUUCCAAAAUCUCCAUUUUUUUCUCUCUCGUCGUUUAUUUUUUUAUAUUUCCAGGCAAACCCAAUUGGUAAACGUCAAAAGUAACUGGAAUCUUCCUUGAUUCAUCUUCUUUGCCGCCACCUGAGCUCACCGAAGCUCGGGUACACUAUCCUUUGGCUCUGUCGUGUAUUGGAGUUUUGUGUUCGUAGUUCUGUUCGAAAUUAUCGAUUUAGGAGGUCGAAUUGAGUUUAUUCUUGCUGGUUUGGAACUUGUCUGGAUCGAUUCACGACCCUCAGGUGAGCAACAGUAACCUUACCCCUUUUUGUUCAUCAGAAAUCGGUUUCGAGACCAGUCAACGUUGGGUACUGCGUUUGGAUUUGGGUCAGUCAGUUCUUUGUGCUCUAUUUUGGAUUAGUUUUUCUCUAUACCAAGUUGGAUUCAUCGUAAUCGAGGUUUUCUAUUCGAGAUUCCAAGUGUGGGUCUUCUUUAAUAUUAUUACCCACCGAAAUCUAUUAUUGGAAGGUCCAUUUUCUUUCACUCAUUCUCUCUUCUUUAUUGUAAUUUGUUGAAUUGGGCAUGUUUGAAAUUGGAUGAGUUGGUGAAUGUUUGAUGUUAUUCACGUGAAAUUUGUAUGAUUAUCAUGCUUUAAUUGUCGUUGGGUCUUUGUUGUUUAUAUUGUAUUCCGAUUUGAAAAAUUGAGUUGAUAGUCAAAGCAUGUGUUAAUUUUUGGUUGAAAAAGGAUUUCGGGGUGGGAAUAAGAAGUUGUUAAAAAGUUGAAUGUAGUUAAAUUUUGGACCGUUGUCGUUUUAUUUAAUUCGGAUUAAGCAUGAAUUUGAUAGAAUCAUUUUAAAUCAAAAGCUUGAUAGGAAACAUAGGUCGGGUAGGCGAAUUUAGGGAUUGUGGAUUGAUGGAAUAUUCGAUUUGUGUGAUUGAAUGGUUCUUGGCUAUAUUGCUUAGGGAUCACUUGUAUCAUUUGGCCGGGGAAUGCCCCGAAGUACUUGUAUUAUUUUUAUUCGGGGAAUGCCCCGAGGUAUUUUGUAUUCGGAGGACGUCCGUGAUGAAGGCCCGAGGCGUCGGGUAAAGCAUAGGAGUAGUUUAGGAUUAGUUUCGAAUAGAAUAGGUUUACAUUUUCGCAUUUUUCAUUUUUCGGGACUGUAUAAUUGGACUGGACAUUAUAUUUUGGAUAAUUUUGUUUUGUUUGCUUGAGUGAUUGUUUUUGCGUACUUUGUGUGGUUUAUGCAUUUGUAAUGUCAAUUUAGCUGAUACGCUCUGCCAAGCGACCGUGGUCAAACCACAGGAUCGAGGGGUGCCUAACACCUUCCCCUCGGUCAACAGAAUUCCUUAGCCGGAAUCUCUGUUCGCAAACCAGUAUUAAAGAGUCAAAACCAUUUUGAAAAAGGAUAUCCAUGGGUGACUUGGCACACCCGAUUUAUGCCAAGUGCCGACUCUGAGUUUUGAUUGUUAAAAGUCCUUUUCAAAACAAAUUUUCAUAUUUGUCACUUUAAUAAUAAAAAUCCUUUUGAAACUUAAAAUGAAUCUUUUUGGGAGUUAAACCUGAAAAAGGGGUGUGACAAUGAUAAUAAUGAUAAUAAUUUGAUAUGUCUCUGUAGGACUCUGCUACAGAGAAUGAGGAACGUGCAGGUUCUCCAUGAAUAUCGAAGUGCAAAUGCUAUUGCAGAUAGGCUAGCAAAGGAGGGCAAUAAGUUAGCUCAGGACUCUUUUUUGUAAAGAAUGGACAGUUCCCCCGUUGUUUAUUCGGAACCAGCUGGAAGUAGACAAGGAGGGAACUCCUUCUGCUGUUCUAUGUCCAUCCACCUCGUUGGAUGUUUGUAAUCGUACUAGUUGUCAUGUUAUAACUGCUUGUAGCUUUAGGGAUGAUCCCUCCGAAACUGGUCACUUUGGCUCCUAUGUGUACUAACUAAAGUUCUGAACUUUUAGUAGUAACGAAUAAAAUUCCAUGUUCAUCCAAAAAAAACAAAAACAAAAAAAAGAUAGCCUAUAUUGACAUAUUUUUUAGAUUGGCUUGUUUAAAAUUUGUGUUUUUAAAAAAAUAAAAAAAAAUUUAACUUACUUUUAAGAUUUAACUUAAUUGUUAGCUGUGCUUGCAUUCGCUUUUUUUAAAAAAUAAAAAACGAAAAAUAUAUUCAAAUGUAUGUUUAUGAAUUAAGUAU